RNAcentral lists this ribosomal RNA (979 nucleotides) under human gut metagenome. RNAcentral describes it as "bacterial LSU rRNA". It matches the Rfam family "Bacterial large subunit ribosomal RNA", at positions 1950 to 2925 of the family's 2925-position model. The record is from RNAcentral.
CCUAAGGUAGCGAAAUUCCUUGUCGGGUAAGUUCCGACCUGCACGAAUGGCGUAACGACUUCCCCACUGUCUCGACCAGGAGCUCGGCGAAAUUGCAGUACGAGUAAAGAUGCUCGUUAAGCGCAGAAGGACGAAAAGACCCCGGGACCUUUACUAUACCUUGGUAUUGGCAUUCGGUGUGGAUUGUGUAGCAUAGGCGGAAGGCUUCGAAGCCACGGCGCCAGCCGCGGUGGAGCCGCAAGGUGAAAUACCGCUCUGUUCGCAUUGGAUGUCUAACCUCGACCAGUCAUCCUGGUCAGGGACAGUGCCUGGCGGGUAGUUUAACUGGGGCGGUUGCCUCCCAAAGAGUAACGGAGGCGCUCAAAGGUUCCCUCAGCCCGGUUGGCAAUCGGGUGGCGAGUGUAAGUGCACAAGGGAGCUUGACUGCGAGACUGACGGGUCGAGCAGGGACGAAAGUCGGAACUAGUGAUCCGGUGCCGGUGUACGGACGCGGCAUCGCUCAACGGAUAAAAGGUACCCCGGGGAUAACAGGCUGAUCAUUCCCAAGAGUCCAUAUCGACGGGAUGGUUUGGCACCUCGAUGUCGGCUCGUCGCAUCCUGGGGCUGGAGCAGGUCCCAAGGGUUCGGCUGUUCGCCGAUUAAAGCGGCACGCGAGCUGGGUUCAGAACGUCGUGAGACAGUUUGGUCUCUAUCCUCUGCGCUCGUCGGAAUGUUGAGGAGGCCUGCCCAUAGUACGAGAGGACCUGGGUGGACGAACCUCUGGUAUGCCGGUUGUCACGCCAGUGGCACGGCCGGUUGGCUACGUUCGGAAGGGAUAACCGCUGAAAGCAUCUAAGCGGGAAGCCUGCUCCAAGAUAAGCAUUCCAUAGGACUACGGGUCCUUGAAGUCCCCAUGCAGAACACGUGGUUGAUAGGCCGGACGUGGAAGCCCCGCGAGGGGUGGAGCCGACCGGUACUAACGGACGAAAGGCAACACAAU